UCCUGCAGAACUUCAUGUUCACAUGGGGAGCUAUCAAACGUGCCUUUCCUAACCAUUGCAGCUUUGCUAUAAAUGCUGUUUGAAUCUGUGAACAACCAUACGAAAUCAUUGCAUAACUGUCAACAUUAGACGAUAAAAAUCACUUUAAAUGAAAGUAAAAAAAUAAUACAUCUACCUUACCAAAAGAUAAAUCACUCAAAAACAGCCGUAUUUUAUUUGUUUGUAUUUUGGCCAUGUGGCUUCCAGUUCAAAAGAUCAGACAUUUUACCCAUCAUUAAAGAGUUAAUCUGAGUCCAUUAACUGAUAGAUUCCGUGUUUAUCUGCUGCUCGAGAUCCUGACAAAAUUAUAGAUUUAUUUUAACACGUAUAAAGCCACAAAUUUGUGUCCUCCCACCGCUUCUCCUCUUUCAGUUUGGCGUCUCGUUUAAUAAAUGUGCUACACUUACUGACCACAAGAGGGAGCCGCUGAUCACCUGUUUUCACCUGUCUUACAUUCAACGAGCUAAACAGGGAUUCUGCUUGAGUAUGUCAAUGUGAAAGUAAACUACACGUUUAAGUAAUGAGUUAGGGACCAAAGUUGAAGUCAUGUUCAGUCUACUGGCACUAUAACACGACUCGUCUGGUGGGAAGGUAACGUGCAGUUUGUCGUCCGCACCACUAGGGGCGCAAGCGGACUCUGCCUCCGGCGAACUGUGCAUCGUUGACAACAUGACACCUGACAGCAGUGUCAACAACAACUUCAAACCGUUUUAUAGCCAUGAAAGUGCAGAUUCUGCCCAUGACAGCUCAGUGACAGACUCUUAAUGUGACUCAACAGCACAUAUUUCAGGCCAGAAUGAAACAAAACCAUCAUAUACGGCGAUAAAGUGCAUGAAUCGAGGAUGUCACGCGACUCACCUAAUAAGGCAUGUGUUUGGACUAUAUAAAGGUCUCGGACAUGUGGACAUUCACCGCAAUGAUGGACAUCUGCUCAUGGACAGCAUAACCCCUGCUGGACAUUGUGCCGGAAGCACCAGGGGGAGACCGUACCAGUAUCCCCCUCCUUUGGGUGCACCCUUCACUCACACCACACCACUCAUAUCGCAGAGAUCUGGCUGGGAUUGAACCAGCAACCUCUAAACCCAUGAGGCAGCACUCAUACCUGUGAGCCACAGAUCUCUUGUCUGGACACAUGAGGGAACUUCUACUUGACUGUUCACCUGUAGGUGAGCUGUGAGUUUCAAGUAAAGUGUCAGAUAAAGGCUUUAAAGCUGUGGUGUAGUGAUUGUGUCCAACACACUGAGGUGGGAUUUGAACCCACAACUCCAAUGCAUCCAUGUGUGCAAUUAACGUGUGUCUAGCCACUAGCACCACUGUGGCUUUCACGACGUGUGCUGGUGUUUGAGGCACUUUGUUGGAUAUAAUGCAAUAUGUGAGAUUUUUAACAUAAGCUAUAGUGGGAUUUGAACUCAGGGUUUUGUGAUUGCAGCUCAACGCUUUACCAACUGAGCUACUGAAUCUCAGUGGUUUUAGUUGGGAAUAUGAUAAAAAAUACACCUUUGAAAAUAUAACUUUCGUAAUGCUUGGAUUUGAACCAAGAGUUUUUUUGUACCAAAGGUAAACAACUAUUCUCUGAGCCACAGGUCUCAUGGUGUUUUUGCUUAAAUACAUUGACCCUAGUUGUUAUUAUAAUAUGGAGCGGUGGGAUUUGAACCCACAACUGUAGCUCUUCCGUGCACGUGAUUAACAUGUAUUUAGCCAC
Molecule: long non-coding RNA, 1741 nt
Organism: Sinocyclocheilus grahami
Lineage: Eukaryota; Metazoa; Chordata; Actinopteri; Cypriniformes; Cyprinidae
Source: Ensembl